RNAcentral lists this ribosomal RNA (315 nucleotides) under uncultured bacterium. RNAcentral's name for it is "bacterial SSU rRNA". It matches the Rfam family "Bacterial small subunit ribosomal RNA", at positions 1061 to 1382 of the family's 1533-position model. The record is from RNAcentral.
CGUGUCGUGAGAUGUUGGGUUAAGUCCCGCAACGAGCGCAACCCUUGUCCCUAGUUGCUACGCAAGGGCACUCUAGGGAGACUGCCGGUGACAAACCGGAGGAAGGUGGGGAUGACGUCAAGUCCUCAUGGCCCUUAUGGGUAGGGCUUCACACGUCAUACAAUGGUCGGAACAGAGGGUCGCCAACCCGCGAGGGGGAGCCAAUCCCAGAAAACCGAUCGUAGUCCGGAUCGCACUCUGCAACUCGAGUGCGUGAAGCUGGAAUCGCUAGUAAUCGCGGAUCAGCAUGCCGCGGUGAAUACGUUCCCGGGUCUU